RNAcentral lists this ribosomal RNA (182 nucleotides) under Escherichia coli. Its description in RNAcentral is "partial 23S ribosomal RNA". It matches the Rfam family "Bacterial large subunit ribosomal RNA", at positions 2759 to 2925 of the family's 2925-position model. Lineage: Bacteria; Pseudomonadati; Pseudomonadota; Gammaproteobacteria; Enterobacterales; Enterobacteriaceae. The record is from RNAcentral.
GAGAUAAAUGCUGAAAGCAUCUAAGCACGAAACUUGCCCCGAGAUGAGUUCUCCCUGACUCCUUGAGAGUCCUGAAGGAACGUUGAAGACGACGACGUUGAUAGGCCGGGUGUGUAAGCGCAGCGAUGCGUUGAGCUAAGCGGUACUAAUGAACCGUGAGGCUUAACCUUACAACGCCGAAG